GCUGGAAACGAGGAGAAAAAUGGAAAGAGAAUGGAUAUCACAAACACCCCGCCUGAGUAUUUUUGAUCGAUGUUUUACAGUUUUUGGUUUUUUCUUGGCCCAGGAUGAUGAGAAGUUUAUGAUUGAUGUCAUUUUACUCACAUAUGAAUAAAAACAAUAAAAGAAACAUCGGAUAAUCAAAUUACACCAGAAUGUGUUGCACAGUUUUUUUUUUCUCUCUCAUCAAAAACGUAAUUUUUUUUUCUUGUUUCAGGAACAGGAACCUGGAUGGUAAGAUUUGUAAACACCAAGUUCAACAGAGCAAACAUGCUCUGUUGAAGAACAAUG
Molecule: long non-coding RNA, 327 nt
Filed under: Spirodela polyrhiza (greater duckweed)
Lineage: Eukaryota; Viridiplantae; Streptophyta; Magnoliopsida; Alismatales; Araceae
Description: long non-coding RNA (SPOL_LNC002280)
Source: RNAcentral